This 92-nucleotide transfer RNA is filed under the name Streptomyces griseoloalbus. RNAcentral describes it as "tRNA-Ser". The record is from RNAcentral. Lineage: Bacteria; Bacillati; Actinomycetota; Actinomycetes; Kitasatosporales; Streptomycetaceae.
CGGCGCGUCGGCCGAGGAGGGCCGGCACCGGUUGAUCCGGCGGGUGCUGUGCGUGCGCGGCUCCCUUCCGUUCCGGACCCGGGUGGCGCCGC